GCAUAACGCGAAGAACCUUACCCACCUUUGACAUGUACGGAAUCCUUUAGAGAUAGAGGAGUGCUCGAAAGAGAGCCGUAACACAGGUGCUGCAUGGCUGUCGUCAGCUCGUGUCGUGAGAUGUUGGGUUAAGUCCCGCAACGAGCGCAACCCUUGCCAUUAGUUGCUACGAAAGGGCACUCUAAUGGGACUGCCGGUGACAAACCGGAGGAAGGUGGGGAUGACGUCAAGUCCUCAUGGCCCUUAUAGGUGGGGCUACACACGUCAUACAAUGGCUGGUACAAAGGGUUGCCAACCCGCGAGGGGGUAGCCAAUCCCAUAAAGCCAGUCGUAGUCCGGAUCGCAGUCUGCAACUCGACUGCGUGAAGUCGGAAUCGCUAGUAAUCGUGGAUCAGCAUGUCACGGUGAAUACGUUCCCGGGUC
Molecule: ribosomal RNA, 423 nt
Filed under: uncultured bacterium
Lineage: Bacteria
Description: bacterial SSU rRNA
Rfam family: Bacterial small subunit ribosomal RNA
Source: RNAcentral